Molecule: ribosomal RNA, 497 nt
Filed under: uncultured bacterium
Lineage: Bacteria
Description: partial 16S ribosomal RNA
Rfam family: Bacterial small subunit ribosomal RNA
Source: RNAcentral
GAUGAACGCUGGCGGCGUGCCUAAUACAUGCAAGUCGAGCGAACGGACGAGAAGCUUGCUUUUCUGAUGUUAGCGGCGGACGGGUGAGUAACACGUGGAUAACCUACCUAUAAGACUGGGAUAACUUCGGGAAACCGGAGCUAAUACCGGAUAAUAUUUUGAACCGCAUGGUUCAAAAGUGAAAGACGGUCUUGCUGUCACUUAUAGAUGGAUCCGCGCUGCAUUAGCUAGUUGGUAAGGUAACGGCUUACCAAGGCAACGAUGCAUAGCCGACCUGAGAGGGUGAUCGGCCACACUGGAACUGAGACACGGUCCAGACUCCUACGGGAGGCAGCAGUAGGGAAUAUUCCGCAAUGGGCGAAAGCCUGACGGAGCCACGCCGCGUGAGUGAAGAAGGUCUUCGGAUCGUAAAACCCUGUUAUUAGGGAAGAACAUAUGUGUAAGUAACUGUGCACAUCUUGACGGUACCUAAUCAGAAAGCCACGGCUAACUACGUG